Molecule: unclassified non-coding RNA, 377 nt
Filed under: uncultured bacterium
Lineage: Bacteria
Description: contains 16S-23S intergenic spacer region
Source: RNAcentral
UCCUGGUUUCCCAGGCAGUCUCGUUAGAGUGCUCCAAUUAAGGGUGGCAACUAACGACAAGAGUUGCGCUCGUUAAAGGACUUAACCUAACAUCUCACGACACGAGCUGACGACAGCCAUGCAGCACCUGUGUACAUGUAUCAGGUUUCCCCUUUAAGACUGUGUUUCCACAGCUGUCAUGUACAUGUCAAGCCUAGGUAAGGUUUCUCGCGUAGUGUCGAAUUAAACCACAUGUUCCACCGCUUGUGCGGACCCCCGUCAAUUUCUUUAAGUUUUAAUCUUGCGAUCGUACUACUCAGGCGGAUCACUUAACGCGUUAGCUGCGACACUGGGAUAAAUCCCAACGUCUAGUGAUCAUCGUUUACUGCGUGGACUAC